Molecule: ribosomal RNA, 572 nt
Filed under: uncultured bacterium
Lineage: Bacteria
Description: bacterial SSU rRNA
Rfam family: Bacterial small subunit ribosomal RNA (bases 1-487)
Source: RNAcentral
GGGGGAACCGAAGAACCUUACCGCACGGGCGGGGCGGGGGACGGGGGGACGCGAAGAACCUUACUACGGGCCUUGUACACACCGGGCCUUGUACACGCCGGGGUCUUGUACACACCGAGGGAGCCCGCUGAGAGGUGGGUGUGCCCGAAAGGGAGCCUGGACACAGGUGCUGCAUGGCCGUCGUCAGCUCGUGUCGUGAGAUGUUGGGUUAAGUCCCGCAACGAGCGCAACCCUUGUCACUAGUUGCUACGGUAACGGGCACUCUAGUGAGACUGCCGGUGACAAACCGGAGGAAGGUGGGGAUGACGUCAAGUCCUCAUGGCCUUUAUGGGUAGGGCUUCACACGUACUACAAUGGUAGGGACAGAGGGCUGCAAGCCGGCGACGGUAAGCCAAUCCCAGAAACCCUAUCUCAGUCCGGAUUGGAGUCUGCAACUCGACUCCAUGAAGUCGGAAUCGCUAGUAAUCGCGGAUCAGAAAUCCGUGCGCUCUACUCUUGCUGCUGCUAAUUAAUUCAAUAUAUUCAUUCUGUGGGGAUCCCGGGGGGGAAUAAGAAGUCAGGCUGAAACGGGG